UGGGGAAUAUUGGACAAUGGGCGAAAGCCUGAUCCAGCCAUGCCGCGUGUGUGAAGAAGGUCUUCGGAUUGUAAAGCACUUUAAGUUGGGAGGAAGGGCAGUAAGCGAAUACCUUGCUGUUUUGACGUUACCGACAGAAUAAGCACCGGCUAACUCUGUGCCAGCAGCCGCGGUAAUACAGAGGGUGCAAGCGUUAAUCGGAAUUACUGGGCGUAAAGCGAGCGUAGGUGGUUCGGUAAGUUGAAUGUGAAAGCCCCCGGCUCAACCUGGGAACUGCAUCCAAAACUGGCGAGCUAGAGUAGGGCAGAGGGUGGUGGAAUUUCCUGUGUAGCGGUGAAAUGCGUAGAUAUAGGAAGGAACACCAGUGGCGAAGGCGACCACCUGGGCUCAUACUAACACUGAGGUGCGAAAGCGUGGGGAGCAAACAGG
Molecule: ribosomal RNA, 429 nt
Filed under: Pseudomonadota bacterium
Lineage: Bacteria; Pseudomonadati; Pseudomonadota
Description: Proteobacteria bacterium partial 16S ribosomal RNA
Rfam family: Bacterial small subunit ribosomal RNA
Source: RNAcentral